Molecule: ribosomal RNA, 451 nt
Filed under: uncultured bacterium
Lineage: Bacteria
Description: partial 16S ribosomal RNA
Rfam family: Bacterial small subunit ribosomal RNA
Source: RNAcentral
CCUCCAGACUCCUACGGGAGGCAGCAGUGGGGAAUAUUGGGCAAUGGAGGCAACUCUUACCCAGCAAUGCCGCGUGAAUGAAGAAGGUCUUCGGAUUGUAAAGUUCUUUAAUUGGGGACGAAAAAAAUGACGGUACCCAAGGAAUAAGCCCCGGCUAACUACGUGCCAGCAGCCGCGGUAAUACGUAGGGGGCAAGCGUUAUCCGGAUUUACUGGGUGUAAAGGGAGCGUAGACGGCAGUGCAAGUCCGGAGUGAAAGCCCGGGGCUCAACCCUGGGACUGCUCUGGAAACUGUAGAGCUGGAGUGCGGGAGGGGCAGGCGGAAUUCCUGGUGUAGCGGUGAAAUGCGUAGAUAUCAGGAGGAACACCGGCGGCGAAGGCGGCCUGCUGGACCGUAACUGACGUUGAGGCUCGAAAGCGUGGGGAGCAAACAGGAUUAGAUACCCUAGUAC